RNAcentral lists this long non-coding RNA (1430 nucleotides) under Pongo abelii (Sumatran orangutan). RNAcentral describes it as "lincRNA". The record is from RNAcentral. Lineage: Eukaryota; Metazoa; Chordata; Mammalia; Primates; Hominidae.
CUAAAAUUCAUAAAAAAAAGAACCAAAAAAGAGCUCAAAGACCCAAAGUCAUGCUCAGCAAAAACAACAAAACUAGAGGCAUCCCAUUUCACUGCAAAUUAGACUACAAAAUUUUUGACAAGUGCAUAGUAACCAAAAUAGUAUAAUCCUAGCAUAAAACUAGACACUUAGAUCAAUGGGACAGAUGAGAGAACCAGAAAGACAGACACAUAGGACUUGUGUCUCUCCUGCUGUGCAUCCAUACUGGGUGCUUUAGAGAGAGCGGGCACACCAGAAGCCCAUGUUGCAAGUGAGGACAAAGUGUGGGAAGGCCGUGAGUGUACAGUCCGAGAUGGCCUUGGCCUCAGCCCGCAGUUCACUGUUGAUGCGCUGGAAUGCCGCCUCCUUCUCCAGGUCCAGGUCUUCGGCAGUGACCCGGAACCCCAGCUCUAAGGGAGGUGGCAGCAUCAGAGGAUCCCCUUGCCUGUGUGGCGGCAGGGGAAGCUUGCGUUUACGGGGCCUAGAGACCUGAGAUCUGGGGGAGCCAUUCCUGAGGGCCAGUGUCUGCCCUGGUGCUAUAUCUGCCAUCUUUUCACACUGGGUGUGACCCAAAGAGACAGCCUGAGUCCGUCCUCACUCACUGUCUUUGAGGAACUGAGGUCACUGGCAGUGGAUGAGGCUGGCCCCCACCUCCGCUUUAGCCCGGGAGGCCUCCCGUAGAGCUGUAGGAGCUCGAGAUGACAUUUUGUUGGGGCACGAGCUCGUCCAGGAGGUCUGGGAUCUCUGUUAUAUUGAUUCUGACCUCUGGCAUGGAGGUCCUCUGCAGAGCCCGGGACCUCUCCUUGAGAGCGCUCAAUACUAUCUUCCCUGGCCACAAGUCUGGGGACAGCCGGCUGUUGUGGGCCCCAAAGGGGUGACUACCUCCUCCUGGGUCCCACAGAGAGUCCUUGUGUUCAGUGGAGUGGCUGAGCUAGAGGACCCCCUGGAAUUCGGCGCACGCAGCACUGACUUGCUGUGGUACCUGUGCAAUCAAAUUGAAGGCAGAAUCACUGGGAAGGAACACAGGUCUUGCAGGAUCACAGAAAACCUUCUUAGAGUUGUCUUGACACCACUGAUGCCAAGUGUCCGGGUGCUUGUAGGAUGGCCUGCCACUCAGUCCAGGGGCAGGAGCAACGGGGAGAUCCUACAAGCAAAGUGAACUGGGGGAUGGGCUGAACGGACUCCAGGCAACUGAGCACUACUAGCAGGUCCUCAGCCUGGGCCCCGACAGGAAUGAGGGGCACAGAGUGCCCAGGUAACCGCUGCUGGGAGGAGUGGGGAACCGUCGGAUGCUUGAACGCUGGAGAGCUGGACUCUGAGCCUCCUCGUGGAGCUGCCAACUCAGCCAAAGUCUAAGCCAGCAGUUCCUUCUGUUGCCGGGCAACGCGCCUUCUAAACCUGAGGGAGUGGGU